UAGGUACCGGCAUGCUGACAGAUGUCCAGUCUGAGCCAUAGAUCGGACUGCUCUGCUCCUGGAUUCAGCGGCGGACGGGUGAGUAAUGCCUAGGAAUCUGCCUGGUAGUGGGGGACAACGUUUCGAAAGGAACGCUAAUACCGCAUACGUCCUACGGGAGAAAGCAGGGGACCUUCGGGCCUUGCGCUAUCAGAUGAGCCUAGGUCGGAUUAGCUAGUUGGUGAGGUAAUGGCUCACCAAGGCGACGAUCCGUAACUGGUCUGAGAGGAUGAUCAGUCACACUGGAACUGAGACACGGUCCAGACUCCUACGGGAGGCAGCAGUGGGGAAUAUUGGACAAUGGGCGAAAGCCUGAUCCAGCCAUGCCGCGUGUGUGAAGAAGGUCUUCGGAUUGUAAAGCACUUUAAGUUGGGAGGAAGGGUUGUAGAUUAAUACUCUGCAAUUUUGACGUUACCGACAGAAUAAGCACCGGCUAACUCUGUGCCAGCAGCCGCGGUAAUACAGAGGGUGCAAGCGUUAAUCGGAAUUACUGGGCGUAAAGCGCGCGUAGGUGGUUCGUUAAGUUGGAUGUGAAAUCCCCGGGCUCAACCUGGGAACUGCAUCCAAAACUGGCGAGCUAGAGUAUGGUAGAGGGUGGUGGAAUUUCCUGUGUAGCGGUGAAAUGCGUAGAUAUAGGAAGGAACACCAGUGGCGAAGGCGACCACCUGGACUGAUACUGACACUGAGGUGCGAAAGCGUGGGGAGCAAACAGGAUUAGAUACCCUGGUAGUCCACGCCGUAAACGAUGUCAACUAGCCGUUGGGAGCCUUGAGCUCUUAGUGGCGCAGCUAACGCAUUAAGUUGACCGCCUGGGGAGUACGGCCGCAAGGUUAAACUCAAAUGAAUUGACGGGGGCCCGCACAAGCGGUGGAGCAUGUUGUUUAAUUCGAAGCACGCGAAGAACCUUACCAGGCCUUGAACAUCCAAUGAACUUUCCAGAGAUGGGAUUGGUGCCUUCGGGAAGCAUUGAGACAGGUGCUGCAUGGCUUGUCGUCAGCUCGUGUCGUGAAGAAUGUGGGAUCAGUCCCGUAACCGAGCGCAAACCCUUGGUCCUUUAGUACCAGCACUGUUUAUGGUGGCACUCUUAGGAGACUUGGCGGUGACAAUCGAGGAACGUGGGAUGACGUCAGUCAUUCAUGGCCUUAACGGCCUGGCCUCA
Molecule: ribosomal RNA, 1198 nt
Filed under: Pseudomonas koreensis
Lineage: Bacteria; Pseudomonadati; Pseudomonadota; Gammaproteobacteria; Pseudomonadales; Pseudomonadaceae
Description: bacterial SSU rRNA
Rfam family: Bacterial small subunit ribosomal RNA
Source: RNAcentral